This 707-nucleotide ribosomal RNA is filed under the name Codonanthe gracilis. Its description in RNAcentral is "eukaryotic LSU rRNA". The stretch from base 282 to 437 matches the Rfam family "5.8S ribosomal RNA". The record is from RNAcentral. Lineage: Eukaryota; Viridiplantae; Streptophyta; Magnoliopsida; Lamiales; Gesneriaceae.
AACAAAGUUUCCGUAGGUGAACCUGCGGAAGGAUCAUUGUCGAUACCUGCAAAGUAAACCCGUGAACACGUUAUCAACACGCUUGGGUUCGCGCCGUCGGAUGCCUUUGCGCAUCCACCGUCGCGCUCCCUUCCCGACGAUGCACGCUCGCGUGGGUCGUUCGGGUUCAACGAACUCCCCGGCGCGGAACGCGCCAAGGAAAACUAUCACGAGAAUGCUUGCUCCCGCGAGGCAUCGUUCGCGGUGCAUCGUGGGUGGCAGUGCCUCUUGAAUCACUAAACGACUCUCGGCAACGGAUAUCUCGGCUCUCGCAUCGAUGAAGAACGUAGCGAAAUGCGAUACUUGGUGUGAAUUGCAGAAUCCCGUGAACCAUCGAGUCUUUGAACGCAAGUUGCGCCCGAAGCCAUUAGGUCGAGGGCACGCCUGCCUGGGCGUCACGCAUCGCGUCGCCCCCUCCCACCCCUCUCCUUUGCGAGUGCGGGUGCAUCCGAGGGGACGGACAUUGGCCUCCCGUGCUCUUCCUGUGCGGCCGGCCUAAAUUUGAUUCCUCGUCGACGGAUGUCACGACUGGUGGUGGUUGAAUCAAUCGCGUGCUGUCGUGCGAGACCCCGUCCGGCGGUGGACAUCAUUACUGACCCAACAGCGCCACGCGCUUUCGACUGCGACCCCAGGUCAGGCGGGAUCACCCGCUGAGUUUAAGCAUAUCA